RNAcentral lists this ribosomal RNA (446 nucleotides) under Salmonella enterica subsp. enterica. RNAcentral describes it as "bacterial SSU rRNA". It matches the Rfam family "Bacterial small subunit ribosomal RNA", at positions 611 to 1056 of the family's 1533-position model. Lineage: Bacteria; Pseudomonadati; Pseudomonadota; Gammaproteobacteria; Enterobacterales; Enterobacteriaceae. RNAcentral also lists the same sequence under 1 other name. The record is from RNAcentral.
AACCUGGGAACUGCAUUCGAAACUGGCAGGCUUGAGUCUUGUAGAGGGGGGUAGAAUUCCAGGUGUAGCGGUGAAAUGCGUAGAGAUCUGGAGGAAUACCGGUGGCGAAGGCGGCCCCCUGGACAAAGACUGACGCUCAGGUGCGAAAGCGUGGGGAGCAAACAGGAUUAGAUACCCUGGUAGUCCACGCCGUAAACGAUGUCUACUUGGAGGUUGUGCCCUUGAGGCGUGGCUUCCGGAGCUAACGCGUUAAGUAGACCGCCUGGGGAGUACGGCCGCAAGGUUAAAACUCAAAUGAAUUGACGGGGGCCCGCACAAGCGGUGGAGCAUGUGGUUUAAUUCGAUGCAACGCGAAGAACCUUACCUGGUCUUGACAUCCACAGAAGAAUCCAGAGAUGGAUUUGUGCCUUCGGGAACUGUGAGACAGGUGCUGCAUGGCUGUCGUC